Molecule: ribosomal RNA, 767 nt
Filed under: uncultured bacterium
Lineage: Bacteria
Description: bacterial SSU rRNA
Rfam family: Bacterial small subunit ribosomal RNA
Source: RNAcentral
GUGGUUUGUCGCGUCGUCUGUGAAAUUCCGGGGCUUAACUCCGGGCGUGCAGGCGAUACGGGCAUAACUUGAGUGCUGUAGGGGAGACUGGAAUUCCUGGUGUAGCGGUGAAAUGCGCAGAUAUCAGGAGGAACACCAAUGGCGAAGGCAGGUCUCUGGGCAGUAACUGACGCUGAGGAGCGAAAGCAUGGGUAGCGAACAGGAUUAGAUACCCUGGUAGUCCAUGCCGUAAACGGUGGGCGCUAGGUGUGGGGGUCUUCCACGACUUCUGUGCCGUAGCUAACGCAUUAAGCGCCCCGCCUGGGGAGUACGGCCGCAAGGCUAAAACUCAAAGGAAUUGACGGGGGCCCGCACAAGCGGCGGAGCAUGUGGAUUAAUUCGAUGCAACGCGAAGAACCUUACCUGGGCUUGACAUAUGCCGGAUCGGCGCAGAGAUGCGUUUUCCCUUGUGGUCGGUAUACAGGUGGUGCAUGGUUGUCGUCAGCUCGUGUCGUGAGAUGUUGGGUUAAGUCCCGCAACGAGCGCAACCCUUGUCUUGUGUUGCCAGCACGUUAUGGUGGGGACUCGCGAGAGACUGCCGGGGUUAACUCGGAGGAAGGUGGGGAUGACGUCAAAUCAUCAUGCCCCUUAUGUCCAGGGCUUCACACAUGCUACAAUGGUCGGUACAGUGGGUUGCUACACCGUGAGGUGGUGCUAAUCCCUUAAAACCGGUCUCAGUUCGGAUUGGAGUCUGCAACUCGACUCCAUGAAGUCGGAGUCGCUAGUAA